Ctenopharyngodon idella (grass carp) is the source of this 900-nucleotide long non-coding RNA. RefSeq lists it as uncharacterized. The record is from RefSeq and is a predicted model, not a curated record. The transcript has 3 exons. Lineage: Eukaryota; Metazoa; Chordata; Actinopteri; Cypriniformes; Xenocyprididae.
AAUUAACUUUACUCUCUUGUCAACAUACUGUUGCACUCCAUUUGUGGAGGCUCGCGCUGUAUGUCACGUCACUAUAUUCUGACUUGGUGAAAAGAAACAUUUUUUUCUUAAAGGAACACUCCACUUUUUUUGAAAAUAGGCUCAUUUUCCAACUCCCAUAGAGUUAAACAGUUGAGUUUUACAGUUUUCAAAUCCAUUCAGCCGAUCUCCGGGUCUGGCGGUACCACUUUUAGCAUAGCUUAGCAUAGUUCAUUGAAUCUAAUUAGACCGUUAGCAUCUCGCUUAAAAAUGACCAAAGAGUUUCGAUAUUUUUCCUAUUUAAAACUGGACUCUUCUGUAGUUACAUCGUGUACUAAGACCGACGAAAAAUGAAAAGUUGCGAUUUUCUAGGCCAAUAUGGCUAGGAACUAUACUCUCAUUCCGGCGUAAUAAUCAAGGAACUUUGCUGCCGUACCAUGGGUGCAGCAGGCGCAAUGAUAUUACGCAGCGCCUGUGACCCCCUGCUUGCACAGGGAGCGUGCCUUGCAACCAUGGAGACAUUUGUGAGAGACGCUGCGCAAUAUCAUUGCGCCUGCUGCACCCACGUUACGGCAGCAAAGUUCCUUGAUGCGGAUGUAUACAGCGUCUCUAACAAAUGUCUCCAUGGUUGCAAGGCACGUUCCCCUAUGAAAAACUUAAAGUGCUGGGAUACGUUCCUCUUUUGCUACUGGGGAAGUGUUCAAAGGCCCAUAGGUGGACAGCGGAGGUCCAGUGUCCCUUUGAGUUCCCACCUGAGGGACAUAAGGUGAUGGAAAAAAUGCUCAUACUCUUUGAGCAUAUUUUACAAGGUUUUGGUCCAGAAAAAGAACAAGAGGUCACAGAAGCAAAUCAGCUGUCAACAUGGCAGCCAAAAGAAAGCAG